ACGUGAGAAUUUACCUUUAGGAGGGGGAUAACAAUCGGAAACGAAUGCUAAUACCCCAUAUGCUUUCGAGUGAAAUGGAUUUAUAUUUAUCCGCCUAGAGAGAAGCUCGCGGCUGAUUAGCUUGUUGGUAAGGUAAGAGCUUACCAAGGCGACGAUCAGUAUCUGGUUUGAGAGGACGAUCAGACACACUGGAACUGAGACACGGCCCAGACUCCUACGGGAGGCAGCAGUGGGGAAUAUUGCACAAUGGGGGAAACCCUGAUGCAGCCAUGCCGCGUGUGUGAAGAAGGCCUCGGUUGU
Molecule: ribosomal RNA, 300 nt
Filed under: uncultured bacterium
Lineage: Bacteria
Description: bacterial SSU rRNA
Rfam family: Bacterial small subunit ribosomal RNA
Source: RNAcentral